AUGGCGUCCCCCUCCGACGCCCAGUCUACGACGAUCAGCAGGGACUUUGACGAGGCCGCGAAAGCGGAUCUGGACGAGUUCUUCGACCAUCAGGAUCUCAAUGAUGAAGUGUUCGAGGACGUUGAGAUCGAUGAGGAUGAUCCUGAGUUGCAGGCAAGUGUGCGCUGGCUUGCCCUAGCGCGGGUUCACACGAACAAGAGUUUCAGCCCAUCGGCCUUCUAUAAGGAGAUGAGAGCGGCAUGGAAUCCAGCGCAACAAGUGAGAUUUAGGCCAGUAGGACUAAAUCGGUUCGUAGUCCAGGCUUCUUGUCUGGGUGAUUGGGAG
Molecule: ribosomal RNA, 324 nt
Filed under: Triticum aestivum (bread wheat)
Lineage: Eukaryota; Viridiplantae; Streptophyta; Magnoliopsida; Poales; Poaceae
Description: partial small subunit ribosomal RNA
Source: RNAcentral